AAUAAAAGGUUAGAUUGUACUUCAACGCAAGACAGGGGGACUAAAUGCAUGAAUUACCCAUUAGGGCAAAGCAUGCUCAAUCUUCCCCUUUAGACGGCGCCGAAUUGCAAUCAUUAUAAAAGCUAAAAAAUUGCUUUAUUUUUCUGCUACUUCAUUCUCUACAAAGAACGCAAAAAUAAAAAAUAAAAAAAUAUAUAUAGGAGGGAAGUCUCCUUUCUCUGCUGGGGUUCCAGGCCUAGCCUUGGAACCCCGCUGUCGUUCCUCCUCCCCACUUCUCUGAUCGCACCGCCGUAACAGCCGACGGGCAGUUGCGCAAGACGAGGCUUUUAAGCCCGCUUUCAAGCUUGGUGGAUGACACCAGUGAGGGGAAGCCAAAAGAGAAAAAAAGAGAAAUCUAACCAGCUUUUAGCCCGACCCCGACGACGACGAAGGGACCUCCGUCGACGGAGCCACGCGGCGGUUUCAGGCGGUCUAACACGCGUGAAGGAUGGCCUGGCGCGCAUGCGGCGGUUGUGGCAGACGAUGAGGCUAGCGGCGCUUUAGGGUUUCUUUUGCUCAUUUCUACUGAAAAUGUUUAGGCUGUGGGCCUAUUAAUUUGGGCUUAGGGUUUCUGAUUUUUGGGCUUAUUGAGUUUGGGCUUGUAGUUUUUGUGUUUAAUGUAACUGGACUGAUUAUUUUUUGUUAAUUUGGGCUGUUUCGGGUUCUAUUGGGCCCCGGGCAGAAUUUGGGCUCUA
Long non-coding RNA from Gossypium raimondii (Peruvian cotton), 734 nucleotides. RefSeq lists it as uncharacterized. The record is from RefSeq and is a predicted model, not a curated record. NCBI's taxonomy places the organism in Eukaryota, Viridiplantae, Streptophyta, Magnoliopsida, Malvales, Malvaceae. The transcript is spliced from 2 exons.